AAAAAAAAAAAAAAAACCCACCUUGAAGUUCCAUUAUAGCUUGAUGCUAAUUAUCUACAUUCUAUACUAUUAUAUUAUAAAUGUCCUAUUAAGUUUCAAUUACAAUUUUAUCUCUGAAUAAUAAAAACUUUGACAUGGUAUUCAUUGAUCUUUAAAAAAGAAAAAAAAAAGAUACGGAAUAAAGUUCUUUGGUAGGUGCUAAAGAAGAAAGAAGUGAAUCUUAAAUAUAUAAAAUGUCAUCAGAGACAUGUAUCAUGGGGUAGUUACUAAGUGUAAGAAUAGUGGGAGGGGGUAUGGACGAGUUCUUAUAAUAAUGCAUCUAAAUAAUGGAUUGAAUUUGAGUAUGUACCUUGUUACCUUAGCUAUAAAUGAACUAACUAGUCAUAUUCAAGAUAAUGUCCCAUUGUGAAUGUUAUUUGUAGUUAAUAUUAUUUUAGUGGAAGAAAUUAACAAAAGAGUUAACCAAAAGUUAGAGUUAUGGAGAAGGGCUCUUGAGAGUAAAGAUUUUAGGCUAAUUAGAAGUACAAAAGAAUAUAUGUACUACGAGUUUAGCUCUUAUAAAAUGCAUGGAGGGGAGGUUCAAUUGAAUAUGGUUUUAAUGCCAAAAUGCAACUAAUUUAAGUAUUUAAGUUCUAUCAUCUGGAAGAACAAAGUAAUAGAAGAGGAUGUAACUCAUAAGAUCAAAAUGGAUCAAACGGGAAGAAUGAAAUGGAGGAGUGCAAUGGGUGUGCUAUACGGCCAUAGGAUCCCUAAAAAUGUGAAAGGUAUGUUCUUUAGAAUUGAGAUCAGCUUGCCAUGUUGAUGGGAGUGAAUGUCAGGCAUGUAAGAUACAACAUUCCCACAAGAAGAGUGCGACACAAAUGAAGAGGUUACGAUGAAUGUUUGGCACUACAAUAAUUGACAAGAUUAGGAAUAACCCAAUCCGACAAAGAGUGCACAUAGUACAUAUUGGGAAUAAAAUGAAAAAUGAUCAAUUUAGAUAAUCUGGUCAUAUCCAAUGUAGAGCGGCAAUGGCCCGGUAUGAAAGUGUGAAAAAUUAGUAAUAGAAUGAUGAGAAGGAAAAGAGGGAGAUCUAAAAUGAUUUUUAAAGAUCAUUCCAUAAAAUAUUUGAACGAAGAUCUUUCUUUCUCUACCCUAUCUCUCUUUCUCUUCUGAAGUUUAAUUUCCCCUCUCUGUCUCUACAGUUUCUUCCCUUCUCUUCUAUACCCAAUUCUUGAUCUGUUAGGGUUCCAAAACCCUAGCAAGUGUUAUCAAAGCUUUCAAGUGGUGGUCAGUACUCGCUUCCUAAUUCAUCGAAGUCACAUCCAUGUUUAAAUUCAGGUUUAGUUUUGUUCUCUCUUUCUCUCUUCUUUUCCUCCACAAUAACUACCCUCCUAAUCCUCUUAUAUUGUAUGUAACAAGACAUUAAGGUUUGAUAAAGUGAAUUAACCUUCCACCUUGUUUUUGACAAGGUGAGAAGCAGUAAAAGGAAAAUUUCAUGGAUUUAUUAUAACCACCUUCCUUUAAAACUCUAACCAACCAAUUUGGUGGGAUAAGAAGAUUUACUAGACUUGUCUCCUGAUAAACAUUAACGUCUACAAAUAAUAUCCUUUUUUUUUCCUUCUUUUUGUUCAAAAAGUUAAAAACAUUGUAACAGAAUCUUAUUUUACUUACCAUAUCUUGCAUUACAACUUUGCUUCACCAUCCCUAAUGCCAAACACGUAAUAGGCUAGCAAGCUUUGCUACUUUGUCCAAAUUUG
This 1739-nucleotide unclassified non-coding RNA is filed under the name Hevea brasiliensis (rubber tree). The record is from RNAcentral. Lineage: Eukaryota; Viridiplantae; Streptophyta; Magnoliopsida; Malpighiales; Euphorbiaceae.